UUUCAAGCUGAACACAGUAUAGAACUUUAAUCAUUUGGACUGUAUGGGUGAGGACGUGGCGUGGCCCACAACCAGUGAGAUGUGAUGCUUUGAUUUAUUGGAGGUCCUUAAGACAGGCAAACUGGCAGUAAGAAAAUCUGUUAAAGUGAAGGUCAGUGUUCAUACAAAGUACAACAGACAACAGGCAUGUGGAGAGGGGAACAUUUAUGGAGAGGGACCGGAAAUUGCAGAGUGGGAUGCUGUGAAGGAACCGAGGUGCAGUAUGGGAGUCAUGACGUCAUCUUUGGUGGACCAGGGAAAAUGCGGAAGUGAAGAUGCUUGGCUUAGAGAAAGUCACGUGGAUUAUGACAGCGUUGUUUAUCUUCUGCGAAAACAAAAGAAGGAAAGUUGGAUCACAGAUGGGUGAUGUGACUUGCUAAAAAUGAUAUGGUGUCAGAAGUGGGAUUUAAACACCUCUUCCAGAAUGAGCAUAAUGUAAAUGGUGCACAGCAAUAUGAAUUAGACCAACUAAUAAUAUUAUUCAGAAGUAACGGUUAAAGUUCUGUAAUCAUAGUAAAGUGUUCUUACAUUUCACUGUAUAUUACUGAGCACACAAUGCAUACUUUUAAAUUCUAAAAACAA
Molecule: long non-coding RNA, 621 nt
Organism: Polypterus senegalus (gray bichir)
Lineage: Eukaryota; Metazoa; Chordata; Cladistia; Polypteriformes; Polypteridae
Exons: 3
Source: RefSeq, a predicted model, not a curated record